UCAGCAACUUAGCAAGACCCUGUCUUAAAAUUAAAACAUAAAAUGUACUUGCAAGUAUAGGUAGUAUGCUACAUGAGGGGUAUUUUUUGCUAAUACUCCAUUCUGACCCAAUGAGUGGAGUUUGAUAGUAAUCCUUGCUACAAGU
Molecule: small nucleolar RNA, 145 nt
Filed under: Ictidomys tridecemlineatus (thirteen-lined ground squirrel)
Lineage: Eukaryota; Metazoa; Chordata; Mammalia; Rodentia; Sciuridae
Source: RNAcentral